RNAcentral lists this long non-coding RNA (214 nucleotides) under Mytilus galloprovincialis (Mediterranean mussel). The record is from RNAcentral. Lineage: Eukaryota; Metazoa; Mollusca; Bivalvia; Mytilida; Mytilidae.
CCGAUGCUUUCGAAAAAUUUAGAAAAUUCUUUUAAAAUAUCAUGAAAUAGACCCAUGUUAUUGUUAUUCUGCACCAGGACUUACAUGGCAAUGUGGAUUAGAAUAUACAGAAAUAAAAUUAGAAUUGUUAACUGAUGUUGAUAUGUUACAAAUGUUUGAGAAAGGAAUAAGAGGAGGAUUUUCUGGUGUUUUAGGACCAAGACAUGUAAAAGCC